RNAcentral lists this unclassified non-coding RNA (320 nucleotides) under plant metagenome. Its description in RNAcentral is "partial contains 5.8S ribosomal RNA, internal transcribed spacer 2, and large subunit ribosomal RNA". The stretch from base 1 to 105 matches the Rfam family "5.8S ribosomal RNA", at positions 50 to 154 of the family's 154-position model. The record is from RNAcentral.
GAAAUGCGAUAAGUAAUGUGAAUUGCAGAAUUCAGUGAAUCAUCGAAUCUUUGAACGCACAUUGCCCCCGCCAGUAUUCUGGCGGGCAUGCCUGUUCGAGCGUCAUUACAACCCUCAGGCCCCCGGGCCUGGCGUUGGGGAUCGGCGGAAGCCCCCUGCGGGCACAACGCCGUCCCCCAAAUACAGUGGCGGUCCCGCCGCAGCUUCCAUUGCGUAGUAGCUAACACCUCGCAACUGGAGAGCGGCGCGGCCACGCCGUAAAACACCCAACUUCUGAAUGUUGACCUCGAAUCAGGUAGGAAUACCCGCUGAACUUAAGC